CUGUGAAGUUACAAUGUUGAUUGUUCUCAACUAAUGUCUUGAUCUGAUCACUAUCAAUUUCAACUGGUCUGCCUAACAGUGGAGCAUCGUCUAGCUAGAAAUCACCAGCACAAAACUUCACAAACCACUUUUGACACGUUUUAUCAGUCACAGCACUUUCUCCAAACACUGCACAAAUCUAAUUUUGUGUGUUUCACUUGCAUUUUUACCUUUCUUGCA
Phyllostomus discolor (pale spear-nosed bat) is the source of this 219-nucleotide long non-coding RNA. RefSeq lists it as uncharacterized. The transcript has 3 exons. The record is from RefSeq and is a predicted model, not a curated record. NCBI's taxonomy places the organism in Eukaryota, Metazoa, Chordata, Mammalia, Chiroptera, Phyllostomidae.